This is a long non-coding RNA of Toxorhynchites rutilus septentrionalis, 419 nucleotides long. RefSeq lists it as uncharacterized. The transcript has 2 exons. Lineage: Eukaryota; Metazoa; Arthropoda; Insecta; Diptera; Culicidae. The record is from RefSeq and is a predicted model, not a curated record.
GUCUGCCCCAACUCGCAGAAUCGAUUAACAUGUAACGUAACUAACGUGAUUGCUUUACUACUAGAAGCUCAAAAUUGAAAAUCAUUUAUUAUCCCAUAGACUGAUCAGUACGUAUCAUAAUAAACGACGAGUUUUGAGUUUCGACCAUUCGACCAAGUCGCUAAAAUGUUGCUUUCUCGACAAUUCUUUCUCUCUUCCUCUAUCUCUCAUUGAUUAAUUGUUGUGCAGUCUACGCCCGCAUCGCACGAAAACGGCAAAGAAGAUUGCAAAGAGCCAUGAUCAGGGACGCAAAAAGUGCAUUAGAAGAUUACAAUUAUAGUAAGUUACCGCAGGAAACUACUACUCUUGAGGCUCAUAAGAAACGCAAAGCGCUCACAGAUGCUAUACGAGAGAUUGAACAAGAACAGGCCCAAGUAAAU